Elaeis guineensis (African oil palm) is the source of this 1211-nucleotide non-coding RNA. The record is from RefSeq and is a predicted model, not a curated record. Lineage: Eukaryota; Viridiplantae; Streptophyta; Magnoliopsida; Arecales; Arecaceae.
CAUUCAAAAAUUUAAAUUGCUUCUUUUGAAACAAAUAAUGACCGGUGUAAUUAUCAUAAUGGCCAAUAGCAGGUUCGGGUCUGUCAUAUAUGGUAGAACAAGGCAUCAUUCACUUUGUUAUUUUGUUAUAAUUAAUUCAAAAAUAUUUAAAUAAACUAUUUCAUCAAAAUACUCUCGCCAACCGGGAUGCGCGCUGCAAAACUCGAGGACGGGGAAAGAGCAGCGAGCCAAAAGGCUGCUGGCUCACUUUUCACUAUCAUAUGCCGCCGGAACAUCCUACAGCCGUUACCGCCCCUCUUCCUCUACGAAUAUAUCUGGCCCCCUCGGUCGCCCAUGACCAACAGCGAAAUGUGGAGGGCAGCGAUCCCCCGGCGAGGGCUCCGUUUGGCUCCGCUGCUGAGGGCUAUGAAAUUACCUCCCCCUCCUCCGGGGCACCUCCCUAACCCCGCUUUCUCCCUCUAAGUGCUCUUCAAUGGAUUCUUGUUCUCGUCCCUUCCCCAAAACCCUGAGACCCCGGCGACAAGAAGAAGCCCAGAAGUUUCGCAAACUGAGAAAGAGAUGCCCCUGCAUGUCGACCAGACGAAGUUAGCAGGUAUCUUUUUCUUCUUCUUGAGCGACAUCGCGCGGAGGGAAUGAUUGGUGGUGAUUUUGCUGCUGGCCUCCUUCCAUCAAUCCAUCCGUUAAGGUUUCUUCCAAGAAUUCGGCUUCUGGAAUGCUUAUACAGGUAGACAGUAUGCAGAGGUGUGCAGACUGUUUUUAACCGGUAUGAAGGAAGGAAAUCAUCAAAAACAAAUUAUUAUCAGCAAUGACAUAAGUUGUCAGGUACUUGGAGCAUCUUUCCAUUGAACAAGAAGAUGCCUGCUGGAGUCAUGCCUACCGCAAAUAAAUUGCUUGACUACCUCUUGGUACUGCAGUUUCAUAGCUGCUGCUUGCCCUGUAGGGGCACCAAAUACAACAGCCUUUGAUUUUUGGGGUAUACCUACAGGCUUUUCAAUCUAAUGUUAAUUAGUCGAGCAACUUUUGUCAGAAAUUGUUUUUUUUUCUUUUGGUGGGGUCUGCAAAAUUUGAAGAUUAUGCAACAACAUUUUAUGAUUUUUCAUUAGUUAUUUUGAUCUAUAAGCCACUAUUUUAUACAUGUAACCCAUGGUUGUACCAUAUUACUAUUUGAAUAUUGUUAUAUUGAAGCUAGAAAUACGAAGCGUUGGUUUGUU